CGGACUUGGUUCGUGGUGCAAAGGACAAGCGCCUCAGGGUUAAGGGACCUGUUAGGAUGCCCACUAAGGUUCUUCACAUCACUACCAGGAAGUCCCCCUGUGGUGAAGGUAUUUUUGUUUUUUUACUCUUUUGAUUGAUGUUUAUUAUUGUUCAUUGCGCACAUUAUAAGUUUGGUGUGCCUCAAUGUAUCCCUUUGUGCUCAAUUGGAUUAAAAUUUAAACAACAGCCGUGAUAUCAAUUGUGCCUCAUAACAAAAACAUAAUUUUGUUUAGUCUUAUGCAUUAAGUGAUCAUAGACUUGUUUUCCUUUUUUAGUUUGGCAAUGUAUCUAUUAAGAGAGUGAUAUUUUGUUUAUAAUCUAUUAUUUAUUCCUCUCAUUCUGAAAAGCUAUUAAGCGUGAGAUAAAAAAUAUGGUUUGUUUCGAUUUUCAUUCUUUUAGUUGUAGACUUGUAGUGCUCUGCAGGGUAAGCUUAAUUAUAUCUAUAUUUUCCUUUCAAUAUUUUUGUUGAAUAAUAUUUGAUACAUAAGAGGGUGAACCCUGGCACAGCGGUAAAGUUGUGUCUUGGUGACUGGUUGGUCAUGGGUUCAAUUCUGGAACAGCCUCUUUGCAUAUGCAAGGAUAAGGCUGCGCACAAUUACCCUUCCCCAUAUCUUCGCUCUACGAGGAGCCAGCCUCCGGGCACUAGAAUGUUCUUCAACAUAUUUUGAUGGUUGUGCUGUGCUGUUGGGGCUAUAGAAGCUUGAAAAGUUUGGUGCUUUCUAAUCUUACCAAGUUCCUGAAUUGUGUGCUGUUCAUAUGCCUUUAUGGAACAGAAAUAUUGUUGUGUUACUUGGCUUGCUGACUUGAUUUUUGAAGUAUUGCUUUCAGUGUCUAUACUUUCUGAAUGUUAGUUAUUCUGCCUUGUGUUCAUGAAACUGCUGCUUGUUUUUAGGUACCAACACAUGGGAUAGAUUUGAACUUCGUGUCCACAAGAGAGUGAUUGACCUCUACAGUUCCCCAGAUGUGGUUAAGCAGAUUACCUCUAUCACAAUCGAACCUGGUGUGGAAGUUGAGGUGACCAUUGCAGAUGCUUGAUCUAUAUCCAAAUUUUAACUGUUAUGGUUUCCUAGUUUUUCGUCUCCUCUUAUUCUGUAUUUUAUAAGUUUUGAUUGCGGGACCGAGUUGAAUUGUUUUCUUUUGUUUUACGGUUGUAGACGGUUGAUGAAUACCUGAGAAAUGUCAUUUUUAUAUAUUCUAGAAUCCUACAUAUAUUUGUUUUGAAAUUAUUACGAAUCAUUUCUAAUGGACUCAGCUAAGAUUAUAUCUUUUCCUUUUCCUUUAUCAUGUUCUGCAAAUUUUUAAACCUGAAACUGAUUGUGAACUAGAUAAGUUGGAAAGGUGUUUUUGCAAAUUUGUACAAUUUCAAAUUUUACAAAGAUAAAAGCGAGGAAAAAAAGAAAAUAUAAAGCACUUCUAAACAAAGAAAAACAAUAUAUAUGGUGGAGAAAAUUUGUAAAUAUGUAGAAGGGAUUUCUGAUUUCUUUGUCAACAAUUGGACGAGACUUUUCUUUGCAUACAUUUUUGGAAUGCAAGUGCAAUCGCAAAAAGCUGUACUCAAGUCAAAGGAUUUUUUCUAUUGCUCAAAUGAGCAUUCAUGCUCCUAGGUGCUCAUUGGUUGGGUAUUUACAUAAUCAUAAUUAAUAAAUAAAUUAAAUUGUAAGUGAGUAUUAUAUAUAUAACUAGGUUAUAAUUUGCUAUAAUCUGUUAUUGUUUUUAAAGUAUGAGUAUAUAAUCAGUUUCGAAUAAACUAAUUAUAUAAUAAGUUAUAUUUAAAAUAAUUAUAUAAUUUGUCAUGAAUAAAUAAAAUAAGUUAUUUAAAAUAAUCAUAAAUAUAAAAUUAGUUAUAGUUUUAUACCCCAUUUUAUAUAAUUAGUUAUAUAAAACUAGUUGCAGUUGUUUUUUAUAAAUAAAAUAAAAAAAUAGCAGUCAUACAUGCUCCCUUUAUAGCUUUAUUAUAUAAGAAGCAUUCUAUGUUUACAGUGAAGUGUGAAGUUGUUUAGAGUUAAAACUCAAAACUGGGUGAACCUAGCAAGCGAGUUCAUCUCCUCAGCAGUAAAGUUGAGUUUUUUUUGUUAUAUAAAAUAAGUUCUUUAUUAAUUUAUAAAAGUAAAUAAUUAUAUAUCACUUGACCAAUACAAAAAUCAUAUAUCAUAUUAUAUAAGUUUCUCAACCUGUCCCACGCCUCAUGAGAAAGUGCAGACUUAUUUAUCAGCUAAUAUUUAUGAAUGGCCUCUAAUUUGUUUUUUUUUUCUUCUAAAUUGAUCUCUUCAUUUUUUAAUUCCUAAAAGAAUUCCCUUAUUUUUUUUUAAUGACACGCUAGUCUUUUUAAAAAAAUUGUUUUUUUUUCAAUUUUCGAACACAAUGUUAAAUGUUUUUUUAUUAAUUCAAUAUGUGAAACUUGUUCCAAUGUAUUCAUCUAGAAUUAAUUAAUGUUUAAAACAAAAGCAAGUAAACAGCCAUAAAUAAAUGUGAUGAGAAUUGCUGAGUCUCAUCAAUAACCAUAAAACUAAAAAUAAGGUUCACUUUUCAUCAAGUUUACUUUUUUAUUGCUUAUAUGACUUACUUUUCGUGUAACUUUUACCAUGUGUUGUUAUGAUGCUUUGUGUAUAACAGUUGAUUUCUAUAGUUUUAGUGAAUUUAAAAUAAAAUUUAUGUCUUGAAUUAAUAAAAAAAUAUUUAAAAUUGUAUUCAAAAUAUUGAAAAAGAAAAAUGUUUCAAAAGGAGCAAGGUAUCAUUAAUUAAGUAUGUAAGGGUAUUAUUUUAGAGCUUUUAAAAUUUAGAAAAUCAAUUUAAAAACAAAAAAUAAGUUAAGGACCAUACAUAUAUUUUAGAAAAAAAAUUAUACAUUGAUAACAUAAAUUUUUUACGCAAUAAUUCAAUCAUAUUAUAUAUGAUAAGUGUAUGUACUCUUAAAAUAAGUCACUUACGAUGAGAUAAUAUUAAAUUCUAUAUUUUAACCUCAUUUAUUUGUUUAGUUAGUUAUUAAAAUUGCAUUGGGAGCGAAUGGGGCAAGUAAGGAAAUAAUAUGAUUCAUUGGGGGGUAAUUUGCAAAAUUUGACGGAAGCUCUUGGGGGUUCUGCUUAUUUUUGCCCUAAAAACCCUCUAGGUUUUCUAUACCUCUCUCAUUUCCCAACGCAGCAGCAGCGGCAGCUUCAUCUGUUUUUCUGCAUCGGCGUGAACAAUGGCGACGUACGCUGCGAUGAAGCCCAAUAAGCCUGGCUUGGAGGAGUCCCAAGAACAGAUCCACAAGAUAAGGAUCACCCUUUCCUCCAAGCACGUCAAAAAUCUCGAGAAGGGUAUGAAGCUAUUCAUUCUACUUUUUCUUUUUAAGGUUGUCGCUGUCCUUAGGCUUAUGUUUCGAUUUUCAUGUUACUGUUAGUUUGUGGGGACUUGGUUCGUGGUGCAAAGGAUAAGAGGCUCAGGGUUAAGGGACCUGUCAGGAUGCCCACUAAGGUUCUUCACAUCACUACCAGGAAGUCCCCCUGUGGUGAAGGUAUUUUUUUCACUCUUUCCACGCUUGUUAUUAUGGUUAAUUUGCCCCUUUUAUUCUCUGCUUUUCAUUCAUGUUCAUUAUUGGCAAAUGUUAGUUUUUUGAAGGUUAGUUUUGUUAGCAGAGGGGUCGAAACCGCGACCUUUCCCUCUUCCCUUGUCCCUUAACCAUUCAACCCACGUUUUUAGUUUUUUCUGUGUUGUAAUUUUAAUAUGCCUGUCCUUUGUAUAAGUUGUAGUUUUAGAGAAAGUCAAGGCGAAAGUAGUGACCGAAAAUAUCUCCUAGGUG
RNAcentral lists this long non-coding RNA (3818 nucleotides) under Glycine max (soybean). RNAcentral describes it as "long non-coding RNA (GMAX_LNC000642)". Lineage: Eukaryota; Viridiplantae; Streptophyta; Magnoliopsida; Fabales; Fabaceae. The record is from RNAcentral.